GACGAACGCUGGCGGCGUGCCUAAUACAUGCAAGUCGAACGCUUCUUUCCUCCCGAGUGCUUGCACUCAAUUGGAAAGAGGAGUGGCGGACGGGUGAGUAACACGUGGGUAACCUACCCAUCAGAGGGGGAUAACACUUGGAAACAGGUGCUAAUACCGCAUAACAGUUUAUGCCGCAUGGCAUAAGAGUGAAAGGCGCUUUCGGGUGUCGCUGAUGGAUGGACCCGCGGUGCAUUAGCUAGUUGGUGAGGUAACGGCUCACCAAGGCCACGAUGCAUAGCCGACCUGAGAGGGUGAUCGGCCACACUGGGACUGAGACACGGCCCAGACUCCUACGGGAGGCAGCAGUAGGGAAUCUUCGGCAAUGGACGAAAGUCUGACCGAGCAACGCCGCGUGAGUGAAGAAGGUUUUCGGAUCGUAAAACUCUGUUGUUAGAGAAGAACAAGGACGUUAGUAACUGAACGUCCCCUGACGGUAUCUAACCAGAAAGCCACGGCUAACUACGUA
This 508-nucleotide ribosomal RNA is filed under the name uncultured bacterium. RNAcentral's name for it is "partial 16S ribosomal RNA". It matches the Rfam family "Bacterial small subunit ribosomal RNA", at positions 28 to 507 of the family's 1533-position model. The record is from RNAcentral.